Molecule: long non-coding RNA, 1083 nt
Filed under: Ficedula albicollis (Collared flycatcher)
Lineage: Eukaryota; Metazoa; Chordata; Aves; Passeriformes; Muscicapidae
Description: lncRNA (ENSFALG00000022916.1)
Source: RNAcentral
GGGGGGGGGGGGGGGGGGGGGGGGGGGGGGGGGGGGGGGGGGGGGGGGGGGGGGGGGGGGGGGGGGGGGGGGGGGGGGGGGGGGGGGGGGGGGGGGGGGGGGGGGGGGGGGGGGCGCCCCGGCAGCCCCGCGGAGGGUGUGGGGGUCCCUGCCGGGGGCCGCCACCCCCCGUCACACACACACCCCCAUAUGGGCCCUGGGAAAUGCGGGGCUGCAGGGUCUGCACCCCCUGUGCACACCUGUGCGCACCUGUAACACCUGUGCACACCUGUACACGCCUGUACAUACCUGUACACAGCUGUACACACCUGUGCACACCUGUACAUACCUGUAUCACCUGUAAAUCCCUGUACACAUCUCUGCGCACCUGUAACACCUGUACAUACCUGAAACACCUGUGCACACUGUACAUACCUGUGCACAGCUGUAAAUACCUGUACAUACCUGUAACACCUAUAAAUACCUGUAAACAGCCGUACACACCUGUAACGCCUGUACAUACCUGUAACACCUGUAACACGUGUGCACAGCCGCACACACCGCACACCUGCACGCACCGCGCUCGCUGCCCGCUCCAGCGCCCCGCCCGGGGCAUUUGGACACUUCUCGGGGCCGCGGCUGGUCCGGACCGAACCGAACCGAACCGAACCGAACCGAACCGAACCGAACCGAACCGAACCGAACCGAACCGAACCGAACCGAACCGAACCGAACCGAACCGAACCGAACCGAACCGAACCGAACCGAACCGAACCGAACCGAACCGAACCGAACCGAACCGAACCGAACCGAACCGAACCGAACCGAACCGAACCGAACCGAACCGAACCGAACCGAACCGAACCGAACCGAACCGAACCGAACCGAACCGAACCGAACCGAACCGAACCGAACCGAACCGAACCGAACCGAACCGAACCGAACCGAACCGAACCGAACCGAACCGAACCGAACCGAACCGAACCGAACCGAACCGAACCGAACCGAACCGAACCGAACCGAACCGAACCGAACCGAACCGAACCGAACCGAACCGAACCGAACCGAACCGAACCGAACCGAACCGAACCGAACCGAACCGAA